GGGGAUGUAGUUCAGUAGUAGAGGGCUUGCCUAGCAUGCAGGAAGCCUUGGGUUCAAUCCCCAGCACCA
This 69-nucleotide transfer RNA is filed under the name Heterocephalus glaber (naked mole-rat). It matches the Rfam family "tRNA". Rfam says of the family: Transfer RNA (tRNA) molecules are approximately 80 nucleotides in length. Their secondary structure includes four short double-helical elements and three loops (D, anti-codon, and T loops). Lineage: Eukaryota; Metazoa; Chordata; Mammalia; Rodentia; Bathyergidae. The record is from Rfam by way of RNAcentral.